AUGAAGGGGACAGCACCAUGGCGCAGGCUCGCCGAGGCCGAGGCCGCCGUGAACCGCUCCGUCGCGGCAAGCAGCGUCGGGAAGUACUUCAAGCUUGAGGCCCGCAAGAGCUCCUUCACCAAGGAGCUGCGCGCCGGCGCCGCCACCUUCCUCACCAUGGCCUACAUCAUUUCCGUCAACGCCGCCAUCCUCACCGACUCCGGCGGGCCGUGCACCGUGCUCGACUGCACCCCGGUGGGCAACUCCACGGCCGUUCCUGGGCCGGAGUGCACGCUGGGCACGUCCAACCCGGGAUACGAGCAGUGCCUGGCGCGCACUAAGAGCGACCUGAUCGUCGCGACGGCUGUGGCUGCCAUGGUCGGCUCCUUUGCCAUGGGCACUCUCGCCAACCUCCCGCUCGCGCUGGCCCCCGGGAUGGGCGCCAACGCCUACUUCACCUACAACAUGGUGGGCUUCCACGGCUCGGGCUCCAUCCCCUACCGCACGGCGCUCGCCGGCGUCAUGAUGGAGGGCAUCAUCUUCUUCCUCCUGUCCGCCGUCGGGCUCCGGUCCAGGCUGGCGCGGAUGAUCCCGCGAAAUAUCCGCCUCGCCUCCGCCGUCGGGAUCGGCUUGUUCCUGGCCUUCACCGGUCUCCAGGCGAACCAGGGCCUUGGCAUGGUGGGCGCGAGCCCGUCCACGCUGGUCACACUCACCGCGUGCUCCCAAACCGACCCCGUCACCGGCGCCUGCCUCGGCGGCACCUUGCACAGCCCCACGUUCUGGCUGGGCGUGGCCGGCUUCCUCAUCACCGCCACAUGCCUCGCCAGGGACGUCAAGGGCGCCAUGAUAUACGGCAUAGUGUUCGUCACGGCCGUGUCUUGGAUCAGAGGCACCAGCGUCACGGUGUUCCCGGACACGGCCGCCGGCAAUGCCGGUUUCUCCUACUUCAAGAAGGUGGUGGACUUCCACAUGAUCAAGACCACGGCCGGGCAGCUCAGCUUCGGCGGCUUCCGCCACGGCAGCGUCUGGGUGGCCAUGCUCACGCUGCUCUACGUCGACGUCCUCGACACCACCAGCACAAUGUACUCCAUGGCCGAGUACGGGGGGUUCACCGACGGGGCCGGCGGGUUCGAGGGCGAGUACCGGGCCUUCCUCGUCGACGCCGGCUCCACGGUCCUCAGCGCCGGGCUCGGCAGCACCACGGUGACCACAUACAUCGAGUCGACGGCUGGGAUCAGGGAGGGCGGCAGGACGGGGGUGACCGCGGUCACCGUCUCGGCCUUCUUCCUGGCGUCGCUCUUCUUCUCGCCGCUGCUGAUGAGCGUGCCGCCGUGGGCCGUCGGGCCGUCGCUGGUGCUGGUGGGCGCCAUGAUGAUGCGCGUGGCCAAGGAGAUCGAGUGGGGCGACAUGAAGGAGGCCAUCCCGGCGUUCGUCACCAUGGCGCUCAUGCCGCUCACCUUCUCCAUCGCCAACGGCAUCAUCGCCGGCCUGGCCGUCUACGUCGCGCUGCACUGGUACGACUGGGCCGGCCUCGCGUGCGGCAAGGUGGGGAAGGCGCUCGACGACCGGCGCCGCAACCAGGUCGCCGCUGCCACGCCGGAGGUCGGCCCCGCCCCCGCCCCCGCGCAGGACGUCGUGUGA
RNAcentral lists this ribosomal RNA (1620 nucleotides) under Triticum aestivum (bread wheat). Its description in RNAcentral is "partial small subunit ribosomal RNA". Lineage: Eukaryota; Viridiplantae; Streptophyta; Magnoliopsida; Poales; Poaceae. The record is from RNAcentral.